GAUGAACGCUGGCGGCGUGCCUAAUACAUGCAAGUCGAGCGAACAGACGAGGAGCUUGCUCCUCUGACGUUAGCGGCGGACGGGUGAGUAACACGUGGAUAACCUACCUAUAAUACUGGGAUAACUUCGGGAAACCGGAGCUAAUACCGGAUAAUAUAUUGAACCGCAUGGUUCAAUAGUGAAAGACGGUUUUGCUGUCUCUUAUAGAUGGAUCCGCGCCGCAUUAGCUAGUUGGUAAGGUAACGGCUUACCAAGGCAACGAUGCGUAGCCGACCUGAGAGGGUGUUCGGCCACACUGGAACUGGAACACGGUCAAGACUCCUACGGGGGGGAGCAGUAGGGAAUCUUCCGCAAUGGGCGGAAGCGUGACGGAGCAACACCACGUAAGUGAUGAAAGUCUUAGGAUCGUAAAACUCUGUUAUUAGGAGAGAACAAAUGUGUAAGUAACUAUGCACGUCUUGACGGUACCUAAUCAGAAAGCCACGGCUAACUACGUG
RNAcentral lists this ribosomal RNA (497 nucleotides) under uncultured bacterium. RNAcentral's name for it is "partial 16S ribosomal RNA". It matches the Rfam family "Bacterial small subunit ribosomal RNA", at positions 28 to 507 of the family's 1533-position model. The record is from RNAcentral.